This 500-nucleotide ribosomal RNA is filed under the name uncultured bacterium. Its description in RNAcentral is "bacterial SSU rRNA". It matches the Rfam family "Bacterial small subunit ribosomal RNA", at positions 899 to 1397 of the family's 1533-position model. The record is from RNAcentral.
ACUCAAAGGAAUAGACGGGGGCCCGCACAAGCAGUGGAGCAUGUGGUUUAAUUCGAAGCAACGCGAAGAACCUUACCAGCCCUUGACAUCCCGGUCGCGACUUUCAGAGAUGAUCGUCUUCAGUUCGGCUGGACCGGUGACAGGUGCUGCAUGGCUGUCGUCAGCUCGUGUCGUGAGAUGUUGGGUUAAGUCCCGCAACGAGCGCAACCCUCGCCCCUAGUUGCCAUCAUUCAGUUGGGCACUCUAUGGGGACUGCCGGUGAUAAGCCGGAGGAAGGUGGGGAUGACGUCAAGUCUUCAUGGCCCUUACGGGCUGGGCUACACACGUGCUACAAUGGCGGUGACAGAGGGCAGCUACACAGCGAUGUGAUGCUAAUCCCUAAAAGCCGUCUCAGUUCGGAUUGCACUCUGCAACUCGAGUGCAUGAAGUCGGAAUUGCUAGUAAUCGUAGAUCAGCACGCUACGGUGAAUACGUUCCCGGGCCUUGCACACACCGCCCGU